UGCUGGUGAGAGGUAACACAUUGUGUUUACAUACAUGCUGGUGAGAGGUAACACAUUGUGUUUACAUACAUGCUGCGUGAGAGGUAACACAUUGUUGUUUACAUACACGCUGGUGAGAGGUGACACAUUGUGUUUACAUACAUGCUGGUGAGAGGUAACACAUUGUGUUUACAUACAUGCUGGUGAGAGGUGAAUGUAAUAGGAAGUGCAUGAUAGCAGAAAUAAGAGUGUAAACCCCUCUUGGAUACAACUUGUGAUAACGUUGGCAGUAGACCUGCGCAUAACAAGGUAGGUCAGUUUUGAUUGUGUAAUGCGUGACACUAUUACCCAGUCUUAAAACGUUCCUCUCAUUUGUUUUUGAUGUUUGAACGUGUUUUACAGUUAGUGGGUAGAAAUGUCUUUGGGAAGUGAAUUCUGCAAAUAGAU
Priapulus caudatus is the source of this 426-nucleotide long non-coding RNA. RefSeq lists it as uncharacterized. The record is from RefSeq and is a predicted model, not a curated record. Lineage: Eukaryota; Metazoa; Priapulida; Priapulimorpha; Priapulimorphida; Priapulidae. The transcript has 2 exons.